Drosophila simulans is the source of this 72-nucleotide non-coding RNA. The record is from Rfam. Lineage: Eukaryota; Metazoa; Arthropoda; Insecta; Diptera; Drosophilidae.
UCCCACAUGGUGUAGUGGCUAGCAUAUAUGGCUUUCACCCAGAAGGCCCGGGUUCGAUUCCCGGUAUGGGAA